RNAcentral lists this unclassified non-coding RNA (233 nucleotides) under Phylloporus sp. RNAcentral describes it as "partial contains small subunit ribosomal RNA, internal transcribed spacer 1, and 5.8S ribosomal RNA". The stretch from base 1 to 46 matches the Rfam family "Eukaryotic small subunit ribosomal RNA", at positions 1786 to 1831 of the family's 1831-position model. The record is from RNAcentral. Lineage: Eukaryota; Fungi; Basidiomycota; Agaricomycetes; Boletales; Boletaceae.
AAGUCGUAACAAGGUUUCCGUAGGUGAACCUGCGGAAGGAUCAUUAAUGAAUUCCGAUGUUCUUUCGAGACAUCUCCUCAUUUAAUUUCCUGUGAACUGUUGUCGUGCACACGGGGUGUGCACGCCCUUUUUUAUAAACAACGUCUGUCGAAUGUUUUGUACUUGUUGGACUCUGUGUAAUGCAGAGUGAACAAAAAAAAAUACAACUUUUAGCAACGGAUCUCUUGGCUCUC